CUUAGAUCCUGAGUGUCAAGAAAACAUUUGUCUGGUGAAAACAAGUGUGGCCGCUACUGUUUCCAUUUAUAGUGGGGACUCAAUGAAUCUAUUCCCCAUUAUCCAAGAUGCUACCGAGGGAAGACACUACAGAGAUUAUUAGAUUUCAAGAGUAGUCCAACAUUGUUCAGAGCUAAUAAAACAACAGGACAACUGCAACAGCAACAAUAUUUGGGCUUCAUGGGAAAAUGGUUUUUUAGUCUGUGCCCUAAGCAACACCAU
This 261-nucleotide long non-coding RNA is filed under the name Cyanistes caeruleus (blue tit). Its description in RNAcentral is "lncRNA (ENSCCEG00000012975.1)". Lineage: Eukaryota; Metazoa; Chordata; Aves; Passeriformes; Paridae. The record is from RNAcentral.